GUGGGGAAUAUUGGGCAAUGGGGGAAACCCUGACCCAGCAACGCCGCGUGAGGGAAGAAGGUUUUCGGAUUGUAAACCUCUGUCCUUGGUGACGAAGGAAGUGACGGUAACCAAGGAGGAAGCCCCGGCUAACUACGUGCCAGCAGCCGCGGUAAUACGUAGGGGGCAAGCGUUGUCCGGAAUGACUGGGCGUAAAGGGCGUGUAGGCGGCCGAUUAAGUCUGGAGUGAAAGUCCUGCUUUCAAGGUGGGAAUUGCUUUGGAGACUGGUUGGCUUGAGUGCGGAAGAGGUAAGUGGAAUUCCCAGUGUAGCGGUGAAAUGCGUAGAGAUUGGGAGGAACACCAGUGGCGAAGGCGACUUACUGGGCCGUAACUGACGCUGAGGCGCGAAAGCGUGGGGAGCGAACAGGAUUAGAUACCCUAGUAGUCC
This 428-nucleotide ribosomal RNA is filed under the name uncultured bacterium. RNAcentral describes it as "partial 16S ribosomal RNA". It matches the Rfam family "Bacterial small subunit ribosomal RNA", at positions 354 to 796 of the family's 1533-position model. The record is from RNAcentral.